Molecule: ribosomal RNA, 301 nt
Filed under: uncultured bacterium
Lineage: Bacteria
Description: partial 16S ribosomal RNA
Rfam family: Bacterial small subunit ribosomal RNA
Source: RNAcentral
CAGUAGCCGCGGUAAUACGAAGGGGGCUAGCGUUGUUCGGAUUUACUGGGCGUAAAGCGCACGUAGGCGGAUCGAUCAGUCAGGGGUGAAAUCCCAGAGCUCAACUCUGGAACUGCCUUUGAUACUGUCGAUCUGGAGUAUGGAAGAGGUGAGUGGAAUUCCGAGUGUAGAGGUGAAAUUCGUAGAUAUUCGCAAGAACACCAGUGGCGAAGGCGGCUCACUGGCCCGAUACUGACGCUGAGGUGCGAAAGCGUGGGGAGCAAACAGGAUUAGAUACCCCGGUAGUCCCUGUCUCUUAUAC